Non-coding RNA from Podarcis lilfordi (Lilford's wall lizard), 130 nucleotides. The record is from the annotation of a GenBank genome assembly. NCBI's taxonomy places the organism in Eukaryota, Metazoa, Chordata, Lepidosauria, Squamata, Lacertidae.
CUUCCAGUAGCACCUUAGAGACCAACUACAUUUGUUAUUGGUAUGAGCUUUCGUGUGCAUGCACACUUCUUCAGAUACGAAAGCUCAUACCAAUAACAAACUUAGUUGGUCUGUAAGGUGCUACUGGAAG